CUACGGGACGCACCAGUGGGGAAUAUUGCACAAUGGGGGAAACCCUGAUGCAGCAACGCCGCGUGAAGGAAGAAGGCUCUUGGGUUGUAAACUUCUUUGAAUGGGGACGAAACAAAUGACGGUACCCAUAAAACAAGCCACGGCUAACUACGUGCCAGCAGCCGCGGUAAUACGUAGGUGGCAAGCGUUAUCCGGAAUUACUGGGUGUAAAGGGCGUGUAGGCGGGAGAGCAAGUCAGAUGUGAAAUGCCAAGGCUUAACCAUGGAACUGCAUCUGAAACUGUUUUUCUUGAGUACUGGAGAGGAAAGUGGAAUUCCUAGUGUAGCGGUGAAAUGCGUAGAGAUUAGGAGGAACACCAGUGGCGAAGGCGGCUUUCUGGACAGUAACUGACGCUGAGGCGCGAAAGCGUGGGGAGCAAACAGGAUUAGAUACCCCUGUAGUC
RNAcentral lists this ribosomal RNA (442 nucleotides) under uncultured bacterium. Its description in RNAcentral is "partial 16S ribosomal RNA". It matches the Rfam family "Bacterial small subunit ribosomal RNA", at positions 339 to 795 of the family's 1533-position model. The record is from RNAcentral.